Molecule: long non-coding RNA, 3251 nt
Organism: Cebus imitator (Panamanian white-faced capuchin)
Lineage: Eukaryota; Metazoa; Chordata; Mammalia; Primates; Cebidae
Exons: 4
Source: RefSeq, a predicted model, not a curated record
CCCACAAGGCAUUGGUCCUUUCCCAUUGGGAAGUCAUGAAUAAGAGACUAUGAAGCUUGCACGUCAGAUCUUCCUCAAUUAAUCCACCAUUAGCAUGUUCGGGAUCCACUACUGGAUGGUUAACAGCAGCUUUUGUAACUGUACGCCGACCAUAUCCAAUUAUGCUCUGCUAAAAAUGAACUCUUUGCAGACCAACCCUCUCGGCUGUCAGUAUUUUCCGUUUUCCUAUUUUAACGUUUGUGUAUAGUGGCAGGCGACAGAUGGUGUAGAUCAGAUCGAUUUGAUUGCAUUAGAUGAUUUUUUUCCCUUCCCCACUCCUUUCUGGAAGCUCGCAUCAGCUGAAGGCUAUCGCCUGGGACUCCUCGGAAGCGUGAGCAAGCCGCCACGCGAAGGCACUGGGGCACAGCCAGCGCGAGGCGCCGAGGUCCCUUCCCAGGGCUUGUUAACACUGUAACCCAGCACUCGGAGAGAAGAAGCAGCUCCCACUGCCCAGAGCCUACCUCACCGCACAUCAGAUGACUCCCUGGCUUCUACACACAGUUGGAGUUCCGCUUGAAACCUGGAUUUAGAGGGGUUCUCUGGCUGCCAUGGCACUCAAUCAAACCACCUAGAAUGGACUGGCCGAGACCAGACUGGGUACCAAGCAGAGAAGUGCAGAGGAAGGCACUGGGAGAGCACCAGAAUUGGAAAUAGAGCGGCCAUUUGGAUUUGGGCAGGAAGCAGCCGAGCACAGCUUUGGAUCCUUCUUUAGGGAAAUCGAGUUAUGGAUUUAUGGUCCCGGUCAAGCUCAGCCCAUCCCCAGCCAGGGGCGGGCUCAGCGAGCAGCAAGAGUUCUGGUGGCGGCGGCGGCGGCAGUAGCAGCGGCAGCGGUAGCAGCGGCAGCGGCAGCCUGGUCCUCUGACUCUCUUCGGUGACGGGUAUUCUUGGGUGGAUAAUACGGAUUACGUUGUUAUUGCUUAAGAAUACGCGUAGUCGAGGAGAGUACCAGCGGCAGGGGGGCAGCGGUCGCCCUCCCCAGCCCACCAGCUGGCCACUAAACGCCCGUGGUUGCCAAGGACGAGUCUCAAACAUCAACAAACUCAAGGCACGUCCCCCUCUCAGGUCAGCUGCGAAGGGACGGGAGCAAGAGAGAACCUCUCCCUCCUUCUACUUCGAGUUUUUCUGUGUUUGUUUGUUUGUUCCAAAUAUUAAUGGACGAUGAAACAGCACGGAUUUUUCACCUCCUAGAGAAGAGGAAGCCAUGGCCACCAACCCCCUCAAACAUGCACUCUUGGGGACAAUCCUGGGGAGCCUGGGGACAAUCGGACUUGGCAGGAGUUGGCAUGUCCAAGAUGGGGCUGGAAGGAUGACCCGGAGUGGAAGGCGUGGGCCAGGGCUCCAGGUCUCAGCUCUCCCGGCGUCGGACCACACAGCUUUGCCACCUUUGCACCUGGCCUUUCCCUCUUGUGAGCCAUCUGGGACCGUCCCAUCGAGGCGCUUCAAAGGUGGGAGAACUGAGUGCUGGGGACUAGAACGUACCGGGCGCACAGAAGAUUCCACUAGCGCGGCCAAACACUAAGCAGGUUUCCUCCCUGCGUGGUGAUCGUUGGUUAUGCACGGGCUGCGCAAGAAGACUAAAUUCCUGAUAAGUGGAAACUGCAGGAGAAAAAUCUUAAACUUAGAGGCCUGAGAAGCUCUCCCUCUCGUCGCUCUGGGACCGCUCUAAGCUGAGCUUACCUUCUCCCCCUGGAGGACAGGCCUUUCCCAGGCACGAAGUGAAUGUGCCCCACUGGGCUCUUGCCACAAGAGCAGUCUGAACCCUGGAGAGACUGACACCGAGGUGACUUCAAGGAGGCAGGCACACUUUCAUGCUUCACCAUCUAGGGUUUCGCCUUUCUUCUAACAUUUAGGAUUCCCAGUGAAGGGUACUCCACACACACCCUCUCCCUACCCCUAAUCCCACUCCAUUGUGUCUGAUCCCACAAUUACUCCCAGGUUAUCUCUACUCAGAGCUUUUGCGCUCAGUGAACGUUGUUGUCUGCAGGGAAAACGGGUGGAGCCCUUCUCGGAAGCUCCCGGGGGCGAGUCCAUUUUAAGAAUUAGUUGAAGUAGGAAAGAAAACACAGAUGCUGUCUUCGCAUUCGACAUUUUAUCAUCAGCAAGAGAAUAUGUAACUCCUGUUCUUUCCUUCAUUGUUCCAUGAAUUACCUUCUUUCUCUAGGGAUCCACCAGUUGGUGAUUUGGGGCUUUUAAAUAUUGUGCUUGUUAUGUGUUUGACAAAAUGCAAUAUGUCUACUGGUGGCAUUGUUUCAUUGGGAAAUUAGAAAAGUAGAGAGAAGCUACAUACUCUAGUUCUUAGGUGGUCUCUGGAAAGUUGGCCUCAUGCUGGUUGGCUAAAUAAUAAGUGUUUAGGAUUUGAAAGGAGGAAAGAGAGCCGAAGGCCUGGUGACAGUUUGUGAGAAGCAGAAGAUGUAGUAAUCUGGCAUUUGUUGAGGGGAUGAGGAAGAACUUUUGAAAUAUAAGCUAUUCUAUUCAGUUUUUUGCAAAUUUAUUGCAGUUGCUUCAUGGAAGAAUAAUAAUGUUUAGAAUAGAAUAAUUGCAAAUAAAUGCUAGUGAUGAAAUCUAAAGGAAACCUCUACUCAUAGUUAACAGAAAGUAUUUUGAUUGUUUUUGUUUAAAUACUUACCUCAUUGCUUCCUUUCCUUUGCAGAAUUAUUUUCCUAUGAAAGUUUCCAUUAGGUGUCAGUCUGACUGAACUGGUUCUUAUUUAAGUUUGGGGGGGGGGAAUGUUCCAUCAUCAGACCUUUUAAGAUAAGAAAGUAGGAAAAAUUAAAACUUUAUUAAAUUGAAAUUACUGGAGUUAAUUUUUCUUGUUACAAGGCAGCUUUUUUCUUCCCAGAAAAAAAUAAUGUUAAACUACAUCACCACUAGUCAAUUAUUGCUUUUGCCUUGUCACUGUUAUAGCCAAGAUUAAAAAAGCAUAAAACUCUUGUUUGUGCUUUUCAUGCUAGAUCCAAGUAGUAUUAAGUAAUCAUAAUUUUUGGAUGGCUUUUCCAUUGAUGUCCAAAUACUAGAAGGGUAAGCAGCCUUUUCUAAUAUUUGUUUUGCUUUACAAAGGUGAUAGAAAGUCUUCCUGGAAAAAAGAGAACAUGGAUUCAGCUUAGAUUGUCCAUUUGACAAUACUGAGGGCAUAGUAAAGGAGCAGGGAGACAAAUUGUGAAAAUUACUUUUGUCCACUAGUUUUGCUUUAAUAAAGCCUGCCUAAAUACUCA